This 443-nucleotide ribosomal RNA is filed under the name uncultured bacterium. RNAcentral's name for it is "bacterial SSU rRNA". It matches the Rfam family "Bacterial small subunit ribosomal RNA", at positions 338 to 795 of the family's 1533-position model. The record is from RNAcentral.
CCUACGGGGGGCAGCAGUGGGGAAUAUUGCACAAUGGGGGAAACCCUGAUGCAGCGACGCCGCGUGAAGGAAGAAGGUUUUAGGAUCGUAAACUUCUAUCAGCAGGGAAGAAGAAAGUGACAGUACCUGACUAAGAAGCCCCGGCUAACUACGUGCCAGCAGCCGCGGGAAUACGUAGGGGGCAAGCGUUUUCCGGAAUCAAUGAGUGUAAUGGGUCCGUAGGCGGUAGGGCAAGUCAGAUGUGAAAGCCCGGGGAUCAACACCGGGAUUGCAUUUGAAACUGUCUUACUAGAGUGCAGGAGAGGACAGCGGAAUUCCUAGUGUAGCGGUGAAAUGCGUAGAUAUUAGGAAGAACACCAGUGGCGAAGGCGGCUUUCUGAACUGUAACUGACGCUGAGGCACGAAAGCAUGGGGAGCGAACAGGAUUAGAUACCCUUGUAGUC